RNAcentral lists this ribosomal RNA (465 nucleotides) under uncultured bacterium. RNAcentral describes it as "partial 16S ribosomal RNA". It matches the Rfam family "Bacterial small subunit ribosomal RNA", at positions 338 to 795 of the family's 1533-position model. The record is from RNAcentral.
CCUACGGGUGGCAGCAGUGGGGAAUAUUGCGCAAUGGGCGAAAGCCUGACGCAGCGACGCCGCGUGAGGGAUGAAGGUCUUCGGAUCGUAAACCUCUGUCAGCAGGGAAGAACGGUCACUGUGCUAAUCAGCAGUGAAUUGACGGUACCUGCAAAGGAAGCACCGGCUAACUCCGUGCCAGCAGCCGCGGUAAUACGGAGGGUGCGAGCGUUAAGCGGAAUUACUGGGCGUAAAGCGCGCGUAGGCGGUAUGUCAAGGCAAGGGUGACCUCCCCGCGCUCAACGUGGGAACUGCCUUUGAAACUGGCAACCUGGAGUGUGUGAGAGGCUAGUGGCAUUCCAGGUGUAGCCGUGACAUCCGUAGAUAUCUGGAGGAACAUCAGUGGCGAAGGCGACUCUCUGGCACAUACCUGACGCUGAGGAGCGAAAGCGUGGGUAGCAAACAGGAUUAGAUACCCUAGUAGUC